AUACUUACCUGGCAGGGGAGACACCAUGAUCAUGAAGGUGGUUUUCCCAGGGUGAGGCUUAUCCAUUGCACUUUGGAUGUGCUGACCCGUGCGAUUUCCCCAAAUGUGGGAAACUUGACUGCAUAAUUUGUGGUAGUUGGGGACUACGUUCCCGCUUUCCCCUG
Small nuclear RNA from Callithrix jacchus (white-tufted-ear marmoset), 164 nucleotides. Its record names the gene U1. It matches the Rfam family "U1 spliceosomal RNA". From Rfam's summary of the family: U1 is a small nuclear RNA (snRNA) component of the spliceosome (involved in pre-mRNA splicing). Its 5' end forms complementary base pairs with the 5' splice junction, thus defining the 5' donor site of an intron. There are significant differences in sequence and secondary structure between metazoan and yeast U1 snRNAs, the latter being much longer (568 nucleotides as compared to 164 nucleotides in human). Lineage: Eukaryota; Metazoa; Chordata; Mammalia; Primates; Cebidae. The record is from Ensembl.